GAGUUUGAUCAUGGCUCAGGACGAACGCUGGCGGCGUGCGUAACACAUGCAAGUUGAACGACGGUGUCAUGAAGUGGUAACACGGAAUGGCAUACGGAGUAGCGGACGGGUGAGUACAACAUGAGAAGCUGUCCAAUAGUGGGGGAUAACGUUCGGAAACGGACCCUAAUACCCCAUAGGCCUUUUGGUUAAAGCAGCGAUGUGCUAUUGGAGGUGCUCGUGUCCUAUCAGCUGGUUGGUGAGGUAACGGCUCACCAAGGCGACGACGGGUAGCCGGCCUGAGAGGGUGUCCGGCCACACUGGAACUGAGAUACGGUCCAGACUCCUACGGGAGGCAGCAGUGGGGAAUAUUGGGCAAUGGGAGAAAUCCUGACCCAGCGACGCCGCGUGAACGAAGAAGGCCUUCGGGUCGUAAAGUUCUUUUAUGUGGGAAGAAGGAAGUGA
RNAcentral lists this ribosomal RNA (444 nucleotides) under Synergistales bacterium canine oral taxon 178. RNAcentral's name for it is "bacterial SSU rRNA". It matches the Rfam family "Bacterial small subunit ribosomal RNA", at positions 9 to 457 of the family's 1533-position model. The record is from RNAcentral. Lineage: Bacteria; Thermotogati; Synergistota; Synergistia; Synergistales.